AUGGAAACCCAGGAAGGCGAUGCGCAUAGGUCCGAAUCCGAUGCUCACAAAGUGAAAGGGAGAGGUGGAUUCGUAGCCCUGCCGUUCAUCAUAGCAAAUGAAAUGUUGGAGAAAGUUGCGGGGUUCGGGCUCAACACCAACAUGAUCAUGUACCUCACCAAGCAGUACCACCUGAGCAACGUCACCGCCGGAGCGACGCUCUUCGUGUGGGCUGCGGCGGCAAAUUUCGCGCCCAUUCCCGGCGCGCUCAUAGCCGACAUGUACACAGGCCGAUUCAUGGCCAUCUCGCUAGGCUCCAUCGCGUGCCUAACAGGGGUCGUUUUCCUAUGGCUGAGCGCCAUGAUACCCGGAGCACGGCCACCGCCGUGCGGCGUCGGCCUUGCCGGGGAGCAGUGCGCGCCCCCGGGGCCGAGGCACCUUGCGUGGCUGAUCGCCGGCUUCACGUUCCUGUCCAUCGGCGCCGGCGGCAUCCGGCCGUGCUCCAUGGCCUUCGGCGCGGACCAGUUCUCCCGGCACCCCAAGGAGAGGAGGUCGAGGAUCCUGCAGGCCUACUUCAACGCCUACUACGCGUCCAUCGGGGUGGCCUUCACGGUCGCCGUCACCGUGAUCGUCUACGUGCAGGACAACGUCGGGUGGAAGGCCGGGUUCGCCGUUCCGAUGGGCCUCAUGAUGCUCUCCGCGGUGAGCUUCCUCCUGGGCUCCCGCCUCUACGUCAAGGAGAAGGGGUCCAAGCAAAUGUUCGCCGGGAUAGGCGCCGCCCUCGUGGCGGCGAUCAGGAACUACAGGGUGCAGCUGCCGGCGAAGACGGAGGACGGCGUGUACCAUCAUCUCAAGGACUGCAAGCUCACUGUCCCCACAGACAGGUUGAGGUUCCUGAACAAGGCCUGCAUCAUCAGCAACAACGGGGGCGUGGACUUACCCGGCACUGGCGCGGCGGCCUCAGAGCGUGAUGGCAACGUUGGCGGCAGGAGGCUGUGCACGGUGGACCAGGUGGAGCAGCUCAAGUCGGCCGUCCGGAUCCUGCCGAUCUGGUCGUCCACCGUGUUCCUGGCGCAGGCCAUGAGCCAGAACUACGCCGUGCUGCAGGCCAACGAGAUGGACCGGCGCAUCGGCGUGGGCCAGUUCCGCGUGCCGGGCUGCUCCCUCACCAUGUUCAACAUGGUGACCAUGUCGCUGUGGUCGGGCAGCUACGACAGGUGGAUCGCGCCGGCGCUGCGGCGGGUGACGGGCGACCCGCGGGGGCUCACCAUGAAGCAGCGCGUCGGCGUGGGCCUGCUGCUGGCCACCGCGGCGAUGGCCGUGUCCGGCGCGGUGGAGGGCGCGCGGCGCAGGCUGGAGCUGGCCGGCGGCGGCGGCGCCGGCAUGUCGGCGUUCUGGCUGGUGCCGCAGUUCGCGCUCAUGGGGCUGGCGGAGGCGUUCGGCGUGAUCGGGGAGCUCGAGUUCUUCUACACGGAGCUGCCCAAGAGCAUGGCCAGCUUCAGCAUGGCGCUGCUCUACAUGGCCAUGGGGGUGGGCAACCUGGUCAACAGCCUGAUCGUCAAGGUGGUGGACGACGCGAGCAGGCGCGGGGGGAGGACGAGCUGGCUCUCCAGCGAUCUCAACGCGGGCCACUACGACUACUACUACUGGCUGCUCGCCGGUUUGGGCGCCGUCAACUUCGUGUACUUCCUCUGGUGCGCCUGGAAGUACGGCGAGGAGGGGAAGAACGUGGAGUGGGAGGAGGGUGAAGGUGAGAGGGAACGGCCGAUGGCCUAG
Molecule: ribosomal RNA, 1755 nt
Filed under: Triticum aestivum (bread wheat)
Lineage: Eukaryota; Viridiplantae; Streptophyta; Magnoliopsida; Poales; Poaceae
Description: partial small subunit ribosomal RNA
Source: RNAcentral